RNAcentral lists this ribosomal RNA (219 nucleotides) under Triticum aestivum (bread wheat). RNAcentral describes it as "partial small subunit ribosomal RNA". Lineage: Eukaryota; Viridiplantae; Streptophyta; Magnoliopsida; Poales; Poaceae. The record is from RNAcentral.
AUGGAGCUGUGGGCGGACCAGCCCGGGGUGCAGUUCUACACCGUCAACGGGCUCAGCGGGGUGAGGGGGAAGGGCGGCAAGGUCUACGGCCGCUACGGCGCGCUCUGCCUGGAGACGCGGGGGUUCCCCGACGCCGUGAACCGCCCGAGUUUCCCGUCGCAGAUCGUCCGGCCGGGGAAGGUGUACAGGCAUGACAUGGUGUUUAAGUUCUCCUUCUAG